This 379-nucleotide RNase P RNA is filed under the name Actinomycetota bacterium. RNAcentral describes it as "RNase P RNA component class A". It matches the Rfam family "Bacterial RNase P class A". Rfam says of the family: Ribonuclease P (RNase P) is a ubiquitous endoribonuclease, found in archaea, bacteria and eukarya as well as chloroplasts and mitochondria. Its best characterised activity is the generation of mature 5'-ends of tRNAs by cleaving the 5'-leader elements of precursor-tRNAs. Cellular RNase Ps are ribonucleoproteins. Lineage: Bacteria; Bacillati; Actinomycetota. The record is from RNAcentral.
GGAGUCGGCCAGGCGACCGCGGCGAGGCUCGACCUCGUCGAGGAAAGUCCGGACUCCGCAGGGCAGGACGCUGGGUAACGCCCAGGCGCGGCGACGCGCGGAAAGUGCAACAGAGAGCAGACCGCCGGAAGGCCCGCGACGCGACGCGAGGUCGCGCGGCCCUCCGGUAAGGGUGAAACGGUGCGGUAAGAGCGCACCGGCGCCGGCGGUGACGCUGGCGGCCAGGCAAACCCCGUCCGGAGCAAGGCCAAGCAGGUGCGUUGAGGUGGCCCGCUGAGCACCAGGUAGGCCGCAACGAGACCGGUGGUGACGCCGGUCCUAGACAGAUGGUCGCCACCCACUUCGGGUACAGAAUCCGGCUUAUCGGCCGGCUCCCCGC